RNAcentral lists this non-coding RNA (189 nucleotides) under Verrucomicrobiia bacterium. RNAcentral's name for it is "6S RNA". It matches the Rfam family "6S / SsrS RNA". Rfam says of the family: E. coli 6S RNA was the first non coding RNA to be sequenced, but its function was unknown until recently. It consists of 184 nucleotides that fold into an extended hairpin structure with a large single-stranded internal bulge. The 6S RNA specifically associates with RNA polymerase holoenzyme containing the sigma70 specificity factor. Lineage: Bacteria; Pseudomonadati; Verrucomicrobiota; Verrucomicrobiia. The record is from RNAcentral.
AAUUUCCUGCUGUGUUCGACCUAUUCGGCAAACCAAAUGGCCCGGACCGUUAAUACGUUCAUGGGGGCUAAGCUGACCUUCGGCUGUCAGGCCUUGAUUGGAAGGCAAAAGUCGGACGGCGGCUCCCUCCCUGUAGAGAAUACGGGAACGUGAGCCUAACCCGCCGGAGACGGCACGAGUGGGAGUUAU